GCCUGGGUGGCUCAGUCGGUUGAGCGUCCGACUUUGGCUCAGGUCAUGAUCUCACAGUCUGUGGGUUCGAGCCCCGUGUCGGGCU
Molecule: transfer RNA, 85 nt
Filed under: Felis catus (domestic cat)
Lineage: Eukaryota; Metazoa; Chordata; Mammalia; Carnivora; Felidae
Rfam family: tRNA
About the family: Transfer RNA (tRNA) molecules are approximately 80 nucleotides in length. Their secondary structure includes four short double-helical elements and three loops (D, anti-codon, and T loops).
Source: Rfam by way of RNAcentral